CUGUGCUUUAUUGAGUAUCAUUAAUACUUGUUUUCUUUAACACAGGCUGGGUGUAUGCAGGGAAUUUAGCGGUUGCUGUUGAUUUCUCCCUAUUUGGAAAAUCUUAAAUCCUACCCACUGUUAAAUUGUUUAACAUUACUCACAAACGGCCAGUUUGAGUGGAAUUUUUAGAAAGUCAGGUCUAAACUUUUGUCAUGAAGUCCAAGGACAAUCCCAUAAGUGCUGAAUGUUUGGCUGAAGAACAAGGUAUUUAUGAGGGUGUGUGAGUGCCUCAUUUUGAUGGUGUGGUGUUAUUGGGCUGUAAAUUUCAGGAAAUAGCUCAGGUUAGGAACAUCUGUUUAUUGACAGGGAACUUCCUACCUCCAACACUGUCUUGUUCAGGCACUUAAUAGUUGUUGCCUGAAUGGCUACAGUAAGUGCCUUUACAGCUUGCCUCCCUGUAAUCUUGCUCUCUGAAUUCAGGUUCCACUCUGCACACCUGACCAUGUGACACGCCUGUUCAGGAACCCUCUUGUGAUAUCACAAUGCCUCGCGAGCUAUAAUUAGCUUCAUAAGUGCAUCGUCUUUUUAAAGUUUCCAUCUUGUUCUUGUAUUUCAAUGUCUGCCUACCCAGAUCAAUCACCAGCAGUUCCAUGGCUGCCUGUUUCUGUUUCUACUUAGUCCCUCUUACCCCCUUGUGUGCAGAUCUACCAGGUACUAGCCUUGCGGGGUUGAAGUUGUGUUGGUCUGUUCUCUGUCUCCCAGUUCAUCACAAGUUCUCUCAGGCGUCUUUGGCAUGAGGCGGGAGCAGAGUGCGGUGCUAACCCUGAGAGUAGGGGGAUUGAAAGUGAUGAAGACAUAGCCCUGCUCACCGAAUCACCCAGUGAAGAACGGGCGAAGGACAGAGAAACAGAUCUUCCAUCUGCUGGCACACUCUUCAGGUGUCCACAACAGGCAGACCAAAGCCAGCAGUCUGGAAUUCAGUCUGGUCUGCCACUGGUGUCAGGGACCCAGCACUUGAACCACCACCUGCUGCCUCCCGGGGUGUGCAUCAGCAGGAAGUUGGAGUCAGCAGCAGAGGAUGUUUGGCAUUUUUGGCCUCUAUCCACUGGCUGCCCAGUAUGUCUCCAGUUAUGAAAAUCAAAAACAUUCCCACACCUUUGGAAUACCCCCUGGGGGGAUAGAUUUGCUUCCCAUUGAGAGCGCUUGAGGUAGGGGAGUUUGGAGCCUGGACAUGCAUGGGAGUUGCGGGGUGAAGUUAGGGUAACUGUGGAGGUAAUUUUCAAAUGCAUAGCAAAGAUCGGAAGACACUUUGGAAAUUUUCCCUUGGGAAUCUUUAUAGAUCUGAUCUUCAUGUGUCUGUAAUAAAUGAGCUGUUGAGUUUUAGGGCAGAGGGCAUUCCCUGGGUUUGCUCUUAACAGUCGCCACUCUCAGAAGCUGAUGGGUCAUCUGCUAUGUGCUCAAUGCAUACCAAAAUGAAGCACCAAUGAUAGGAACAAAGAUGCCAAAGCCAGGCUUCUGACCCAGAAGGAGCUUGUGUAUGAUAAACCCUUAAAGGCAGGGCUACAUUUUAUGAGACGAGUUUAUGAGAUCUGUUAAAAAGCACUAGAGAUUUAGAUAUAUCUGUAUUUAAACAGUAAUUCAAGACAAUAAGGGGGCACUUUUACAAGAUUACUAACAUCAAAGUUUUUUAGGUGUUUAACGGAAGAAGGAAUCUUUUCAGGCCCAGUAACAGGGGAAGGCUUUACGUAGAGUGGUAUAUGAAAACAACCUUGGACAUGGUCGGAUUUAGGCCGCUGAACAAUCCUGAAGAAAGAGAUGGAAGAGGGAUGUAGCCAAGAGACUUAGCAGAGCUUCACCUGGGCUGCAGUUGAGGGAUUGGUGAGACAAAUGAGGUGGGGCUCAGGUGUCUGAGGUCCCUGUGUUGAAGGGCGUGCAUUUCCACCUAUGCCAGCCCUGAUGUCAUGCUGAUUGGCACCCUUGCCAUAAGCUCUCUCGGGAGGUUUGCAGAGGGCUCAAAAGGACAGACGAAGGCUGCCCUCGUUUGGCUUCCAUGGCUCGCUCCAUGACAUGGUAAACACUCAUCUGAGUAGAGUGGGGAUGGGGGGUGUGUGGUGCUUACUUGCUCUGGUCCUGUGGUCUCUUCUCCAGUUUUCAAAGAAUCAGGCCUCCCACAUCUGCAGGAAGUUUCAGUUUACAAAACCUGGCUUCUGUUUCUCUUCUAUCCCCACUGCUCUGGUUGUACAGCUUAUGGUGAAGAUGCCUUCUGGGGCAGGCGUUUGGCACAGUGGUUAUGAUGUUGCAUGGAGGGCCGGCACCGCAGCUCACUUGGCUAAUCCUCCGCCUGCGGUGCUGGCACUCCCGGUUCUAGUCUCGGUUGGGGCACCGUGUUCUAGUCCCGGUUGGGGCACGGGGUUCUAGUCCCGGUUGCUCCUCUUCCAGUCCGGCUCUCUGCUCUGGCCCGGGAGGGCAGUGGAGGAUGGCCCAAGUGCUUGGGCCCUGCACCCUCAUGGGAGACCAGGAGGAAGCACCUGGCUCCUGGCUUCAGAUCGGUGCAGCACGCCAGCCGUAGUGGCCAUUUGCGGGGUGAACCAAUGGAAGGAAGACCUUUCUCUCUGUCUCUCUCUCUCUCACUGUCUAACUCUGCCUGUCCAAAAAAAAAAAAAAAAAAAAGAUGUUGCACGGAACACCUGCAUCUCAUGUCAGAGUGCCUGGAUUUGAGUUCCGAUUCUGAUUCUGAUUCCAGCUUCCUAUUAAUGUGCACCCUGGGAGGGAGCAGGUGAUGGCCUAGUACUUGUGUCUCUGCUACCCAUUUCUAAGAUCUGGACUGAGUUUUGGAUUGAGUUGACUUUGGCUGUGUCCAGUACAAGUUGUAGUGGACAUUUGGGCAAUGAACCAACAGAUGGAAGCUCACCUUUUCUCUCAUAUCUCCAUCUCUCUCUGACUUUCAAAUAAUCAUUAUCAUAAUAUAAGUAAUAAAAAGAUGCCUUUUAAAAAAGAUUUAUUUAUUUGAAUGACAGAGUGAUAGAGGAAGAUAGAGAAAGUCAGAGAGUGAUGCAAGGAGUUUCAACAGCCAGGACGGGGCUGGGCUGAAGCCGAGUCCAUGACUCCUUCUGGGUCCUAUAUAUGGGUAAAAGGGCCUGAGCACUUGGACCAUCUUCUGCUUUCCCAGGCGCAUUAGAGGAGAUCUGGAUCAUUAGUGAAGCAGCCAGGGUUCCAGCCAGUGCUCCGAUGUGGGAUGCUGGUGUCACAAACAGUGGUGUAACCUGCUCUGCCUCAGUGUGGGCCCCAGGAUGCCUUCUUUUCUUAAGAACUCCCAAGGAUUCUGGGUCAUGGACAAGGUAAUAGUAAUAAGCAGAACUGUCUAAAUACGACAUCACACAUAGUCAAAGGCUGUAUUCUACGUCUUCCAGUUCAUACAUAGAAAUGCAUGAAGUGGCAGUCGCCGGCAACUCAGAUCAGCGAAUAAAGAACUCUACAACCAACCUGCCUUCUCCGCUGGCAACUGAAGCUGUUUCUCAAAUCCAAGUCACAGCCUCUACACUGAAGAGGUGCAGACAGCACCGAACUAAAACACUCGGACACAAACGCAAGGGGAUGGAUUUUGAAAACCCUUUAAAGCUUUUGUGUGUUGUAGUCGUCCGAACAGAAAGUUCUAGAGAACACGUUAUUGCAAUUUUGAAUGUUUCUUGUGCAACACUUUUCAAUCUGGAAUGCUUCAGUUGAUUCUUGUGUUCCCAUGGGUGUGAACUUGAGACACUUGUUGAAUCUACAGGCAUGAGUUUGUAUGGGCGUGCUUUACUGAAAUAGAGACACACACACACACACACACACACACACCCCUGGAUAGAUGGGGGUGAGAGGAAAACCCCUUCUCACUCAGAGAUCACCUCACACCUGGGGUACACUGACGCCUCCUCAUUGAAAAUUGUUCUCAUUUUACUACGUUAGGUUUCAGAUUUCACGUUCUGAAAUGUAAUUUUCAGUGAAUUAAAAAGUAUCACAUUUGAGUCCGGCAAGAUGGCGGAAUAGGAAGGGAGCACACUGAUAGUCUGGGGAGAGAUAGUUUAAUAAAAGUGGAGAUACUGCAGGUUCAAGGAAGAGUAGGGGAGGAAACAGCACAAGAAACUCUUCCGGAACGCGUGACUCACAGCGGACCUGCGUGGAGAGCGUGGGAGCCCACAGUUCGGGACAUCAGCGGCAGACUCAACA
Oryctolagus cuniculus (rabbit) is the source of this 4191-nucleotide non-coding RNA. Lineage: Eukaryota; Metazoa; Chordata; Mammalia; Lagomorpha; Leporidae. The record is from RefSeq and is a predicted model, not a curated record.